Molecule: ribosomal RNA, 1470 nt
Filed under: Triticum aestivum (bread wheat)
Lineage: Eukaryota; Viridiplantae; Streptophyta; Magnoliopsida; Poales; Poaceae
Description: partial small subunit ribosomal RNA
Source: RNAcentral
AUGCCCAUGGCGCCUCCGCCUUUGCUCCCCCUCUCCGCGCUCCUCCUCCUCCUGCUCACCGCCGCCUCCCAUGCCUCUGCCAAGCCCGUCCAGACUCAGUCCCUCCUCGCCACCCCUCUCUCGCCCGACCGUGUCUCCGCCCCGUCGGAACUAGCCCGCGACGACGACACCAACGUCUUUGCCGCUGCCGAGGACGCCGUCGCCGGGACAGUUCGUUUCCGCGUGGUCCACCGGGAUGACUUCUCAAAGAACGCCACCGCGGCCGAGCUGCUCGCGCACCGGCUGGAGCGGGACGAGAAGAGGGCGGCGCGGCUCUCGGCGGCCGCCGGCGCGGCCAACGCGACGCGCCGCGGCGGCGGAGGGGUCGUGGCGCCGGUGGUUUCCGGGCUGGCCCAAGGGAGCGGAGAGUACUUCACCAAGAUCGGGGUGGGGACGCCCGCCACGCCGGCGCUCAUGGUGCUCGACACCGGCAGCGACGUCGUGUGGCUGCAGUGCGCGCCGUGCAGGCGCUGCUACGAGCAGUCUGGCCAGGUGUUCGACCCGCGCCGCUCGCGCUCCUACGGCGCGGUCGGCUGCGCCGCCCCGCUUUGCCGCAGGCUCGACUCCGGCGGCUGUGACCUGCGCCGCAGUGCGUGCCUCUACCAGGUCGCUUACGGCGAUGGCUCCGUCACCGCCGGGGACUUCGCCACCGAGACCCUCACCUUCGCUGGCGGUGCCCGUGUGGCGCGCGUUGCUCUGGGGUGCGGCCACGACAACGAGGGUUUGUUCGUCGCGGCGGCGGGCCUCCUCGGGCUCGGCCGAGGCAGCCUAUCCUUCCCCACCCAGAUCUCCCGCCGUUAUGGGCGGAGCUUCUCGUACUGCCUUGUGGACCGUACCUCGUCGGCCAACUCCGCCUCCCGCUCUUCGACCGUGACCUUCGGCUCCGGCGCCCUAGGCUCCACGGUUGCCUCGUCCUUCACCCCGAUGGUCAAGAACCCUCGGAUGGAGACGUUCUACUACGUGCAGCUCAUCGGUAUCAGCGUGGGCGGCGCGCGCGUCCCUGGCGUGGCGAACUCCGACCUCCGUCUCGACCCGUCGUCGGGGCGUGGUGGCGUCAUCGUGGACUCUGGCACGUCCGUGACCCGGCUCGCCCGCGCGGCCUACUCGGCUCUGCGCGACGCAUUCCGCGGGGCCGCCGCUGGGCUCCGGCUCUCUCCCGGCGGGUUCUCCCUGUUCGACACGUGCUACGACCUGAGCGGGCGCAAGGUGGUGAAGGUGCCGACCGUGUCGAUGCACUUCGCCGGUGGCGCGGAGGCGGCUCUGCCCCCGGAGAACUACCUGAUCCCGGUGGACUCGAAAGGGACGUUCUGCUUCGCGUUCGCGGGCACGGACGGCGGCGUGUCCAUCAUCGGCAACAUACAGCAGCAGGGCUUCCGGGUGGUGUUCGACGGCGACGGCCAGCGCGUCGCCUUCGUGCCCAGGGGCUGUUAA